UGAGGAAUAUUGGUCAAUGGGCGAGAGCCUGAACCAGCCAAGUAGCGUGAAGGAUGAAGGUCCUACGGAUUGUAAACUUCUUUUAUACGGGAAUAAAGUUUCCUACGUGUAGGAUUUUGUAUGUACCGUAUGAAUAAGCAUCGGCUAACUCCGUGCCAGCAGCCGCGGUAAUACGGAGGAUGCGAGCGUUAUCCGGAUUUAUUGGGUUUAAAGGGAGCGCAGACGGGAGAUUAAGUCAGUUGUGAAAGUUUGCGGCUCAACCGUAAAAUUGCAGUUGAUACUGGUUUCCUUGAGUGCAGUUGAGGCAGGCGGAAUUCGUGGUGUAGCGGUGAAAUGCUUAGAUAUCACGAAGAACCCCGAUUGCGAAGGCAGCUUGCUAAACUGUAACUGACGUUCAUGCUCGAAAGUGUGGGUAUCAAACAGGAUUAGAUACCCUGGUAGUCCACACGGUAAACGAUGGAUACUCGCUGUUGGCGAUAUACUGUCAGCGGCCAAGCGAAAGCAUUAAGUAUCCCACCUGGGGAGUACGCCGGCAACGGUGAAACUCAAAGGAAUUGACGGAGGCCCGCACAAGCGGAGGAACAUGUGGUUUAAUUCGAUGAUACGCGAGGAACCUUACCCGGGCUUAAAUUGCAGACGAAUUACGAGGAAACUUGUAAGCCGCAAGGCGUCUGUGAAGGUGCUGCAUGGUUGUCGUCAGCUCGUGCCGUGAGGUGUCGGCUUAAGUGCCAUAACGAGCGCAACCCUCGUGGUCAGUUACUAACAGGUUAAGCUGAGGACUCUGGCCAGACUGCCAUCGUAAGAUGUGAGGAAGGUGGGGAUGACGUCAAAUCAGCACGGCCCUUACGUCCGGGGCUACACACGUGUUACAAUGGGAGGUACAGAAGGCAGCUACCCGGCGACGGGAUGCCAAUCCCCAAAACCUCUCUCAGUUCGGACUGGAGUCUGCAACCCGACUCCACGAAGCUGGAUUCGCUAGUAAUCGCGCAUCAGCCACGGCGCGGUGAAUACGUUCCC
Molecule: ribosomal RNA, 1017 nt
Filed under: uncultured bacterium
Lineage: Bacteria
Description: bacterial SSU rRNA
Rfam family: Bacterial small subunit ribosomal RNA
Source: RNAcentral